GACGAACGCUGGCGGCGUGCUUAACACAUGCAAGUCGAACGGAAAGGCCCUGCUUGCAGGGUACUCGAGUGGCGAACGGGUGAGUAACACGUGGGUGAUCUGCCCUGCACUUCGGGAUAAGCCUGGGAAACUGGGUCUAAUACCGGAUAGGAGCCAUUUUUAGUGUGAUGGUUGGAAAGUUUUUUCGGUGUAGGAUGAGCUCGCGGCCUAUCAGCUUGUUGGUGGGGUAAUGGCCUACCAAGGCGGCGACGGGUAGCCGGCCUGGGAGGGUGGACGGCCACAGUGGGACUGAGAUACGGCCCAGACUCCUACGGGAGGCAGCAGGGGGGAAUAUUGCACAAUGGGCGCAAGCCUGAUGCAGCGACGCCGCGUGGGGGAUGACGGCCUUCGGGUUGUAAACUCCUUUCGCUAGGGACGAAGCUUUUUGUGACGGUACCUAGAGAAGAAGCACCGGCUAACUACGUG
Molecule: ribosomal RNA, 465 nt
Filed under: uncultured bacterium
Lineage: Bacteria
Description: partial 16S ribosomal RNA
Rfam family: Bacterial small subunit ribosomal RNA
Source: RNAcentral